CAAAAACAUUGGGAAAGCUCCUUACUCUUUUUUCUUCAAAAACUUGCCUCUUGCUAGCUACCUCUAAAAUUCUACGCAGAGUCUAAGUUCUACCUCACUCUUAAUCGCACCGAUCCCGCAACAGCUUCCAGAGCACAAUUUUUUCCUGCUUGUUCGCUCCCCGCUCUGGUCCCGAAUGCGCUGCUUACCUCGUUUGAAAAUUCCCCCCUUAGACCAACUCCGCCUCACUGCGCCCCGCUGCCAAUCACAUAACCCUUGCACCGCUCCCUUCGCACCCCGGUUAGCCAAUCCACUCCAGGUCUGAUUUUACGAUCUCCCGCUGAUGUUAAGACUAUCUUCGAACCCCCAGAAGACCCCUGCCUUCAGCCAUAUCAACAACUGGAACCGCUCAGACUGCUUGCGACUUCGCAUAGGGAGCGGCCGAUUUCAACAGCAACUUGCGUCUCUUUCCUUAUCCGCAUAUCAUUCGGUAAGUGUUAAUCUUGCUCUCUAACUACAUUUUUGCAUUUUCCUUUUUACCAUUCUGUCAAUCCUUUCAUUUAAAUAAAUAAAUAAAUAUCACAAUGGUUUGUAACAGGUACAAUACACCAUCCAUCCAUCCAUUCGCCUCCACUUAUCCUUUUCUCAGGCUCGCGCAGUGCGCUGGAGCCUAUCCCACGUGCAAUACACUUUAAAAUAUAUAUAAGCUCCACUUUUAACCCCCGUAAAAGUUUAUACAUUACAUGUCUACAUCACCUAUCAUGGCCUCAUCGGGUAUCUCAUUUUUUCUCACUCUUGUUCAUAUAAUGUUUAUAUUUUUACUGUUUGUAAAUACUCGAUGUUAUUUCUUUUCAGACUCUGAGAUAAACCUGCUCAACUCCUCUUUUUUUGAGUCUCUCGAUCAAAUUGAUAUCUCUGACUUGGACACCUUUAUUGGUACGAGUUCCCCGAAUUCUUCACCACCAGUGCUUGUGCGAUCCACAGGAAAGAAUAUUCGUCUCUCCACACGGGACAGAGAGUAUUUGCUCUCUACGCUAGAUCGCCCUGCUUCAUCUGGCCCCAGUUCCAUUCCCGUCGGAGCUUGUUCUCUCCCGCAACCCUCUGGGAAAAACUUGCGCCUGUCCGCCGGGGACAGACCCAGAUGUGUUAACCUGAUCCCUGCGAAACACCAGCUCUGCGUGGAUUUUGACCGCGAGUGACCGGAUGUUGUUUCCGGCCUGAGGUUGCCUGAAAUGCCGUGAGGCUCGUUUGAAAGAUUGCGCCCGAGACCAACUCCGCCUCCAAGGCAUGCCUACCUUUAGCUGCCACCAGUGAGAUAUCAGAGCCGGGCUCCACAUAUCCAAUCAGGAGCACGAGCAAGACAGCUUUUGCAGACUCUCCAGAAAUAUACAAGUCCUUACCAACUGCUCUGCAACCCAGUGUUUCUGGUCCCCUCACUAACAUCGCUUUUUGAGAUAUUUUUUAUGAACCACCAAAAAAGCAAUUUUACCCCACAGACUGGGUCUGAGGGCAGCAGCGGGGACAAAUGAUUGAAGCGACGGACAUUUCAUGGCUGGUCUUGCAUAAUCGUGAGUUAUUAUGUCAUAUGGUGAUAAGUACAUAGUUUUGCAAGAGGCAUACAAGCACUGUGGAAAAAGUAAUCAUAAAACUGUUUUUGUGAACACCCUACGUUAUGCUUUAAAAAAUGUGAUACAUGUAAUGUGAUCAUCAAAGAACAUGAUUUUUUUAAAAAAAAACUUUUAUUCUUAUGCUUUUAAAGUAUGUCAGAUUAUCUUAAAACACUUAUUUGUAUGUUAUAAUGUUUUUCUUACACCAUGUGUAAUUUUUAUAGACACC
Astatotilapia calliptera (eastern happy) is the source of this 1815-nucleotide long non-coding RNA. The record is from Ensembl. NCBI's taxonomy places the organism in Eukaryota, Metazoa, Chordata, Actinopteri, Cichliformes, Cichlidae.